UAAUACGGAGGGAGCUAGCGUUGUUCGGAAUUACUGGGCGUAAAGCGCACGUAGGCGGCUAUUCAAGUCAGAGGUGAAAGCCCGGGGCUCAACCCCGGAACUGCCUUUGAAACUAGAUAGCUCGAAUCAUGGAGAGGUGAGUGGAAUUCCGAGUGUAGAGGUGAAAUUCGUAGAUAUUCGGAA
RNAcentral lists this ribosomal RNA (183 nucleotides) under uncultured bacterium. RNAcentral describes it as "partial 16S ribosomal RNA". It matches the Rfam family "Bacterial small subunit ribosomal RNA", at positions 521 to 703 of the family's 1533-position model. The record is from RNAcentral.